Molecule: ribosomal RNA, 444 nt
Filed under: uncultured bacterium
Lineage: Bacteria
Description: SSU rRNA
Rfam family: Bacterial small subunit ribosomal RNA
Source: RNAcentral
AGAGCGGACGCUGGCGGCAGGCCUAACACAUGCAAGUCGAGCGCCCGUAGCAAUACGGGAGCGGCAGACGGGAUAGUAACACGUGGGAACGCGCCCUUCGGUUCGGAAUAACUCAGGGAAACUUGAGCUAAUACCGGAUACGCCCUUACGGGGAAAGAUUUAUUGCCGAAGGAACGGCCCGCGUCCGAUUAGCUAGUUGGUGAGGUAAUGGCUCACCAAGGCGACGAUCGGUAGCUGGUCUGAGAGGAUGACCAGCAUCACUGGGACUGAGACACGGCCCAGACUCCUACGGGAGGCAGCAGUGGGGAAUAUGGACAAUGGGCGCAAGCCUGAUCCAGCCAUGCCGCGUGGAUGAUGAAGGCCCUAGGGUUGUAAAGUCCUUUCGACGGGGAAGAUAAUGACGGUACCGUAGAAGAAGCCCGGCUAACUCGUGCCAGCAGCCGC